AGGUGGGGAUGACGUCAGAUCAUCAUGCCCCUUACGUCCAGGGCUUCACGCAUGCUACAAUGGCCAGUACAACGGGUUGCUUCAUGGUGACAUGGUGCUAAUCCCUUAAAACUGGUCUCAGUUCGGAUCGUAGUCUGCAACUCGACUACGUGAAGGCGGAGUCGCUAGUAAUCGCGAAUCAGCAACGUCGCGGUGAAUGCGUUCCCGGGCCUUGUACACACCGCCCGUCAAGUCAUGAAAGUGGGCAGCACCCGAAGCCGGUGGCCUAACCCUUUUGGGAUGGAGCCGUCUAAGGUGAGGCUCGUGAUUGGG
This 312-nucleotide ribosomal RNA is filed under the name Gardnerella vaginalis. RNAcentral's name for it is "bacterial SSU rRNA". It matches the Rfam family "Bacterial small subunit ribosomal RNA", at positions 1171 to 1479 of the family's 1533-position model. The record is from RNAcentral. Lineage: Bacteria; Bacillati; Actinomycetota; Actinomycetes; Bifidobacteriales; Bifidobacteriaceae.